RNAcentral lists this ribosomal RNA (523 nucleotides) under uncultured bacterium. RNAcentral's name for it is "bacterial SSU rRNA". It matches the Rfam family "Bacterial small subunit ribosomal RNA", at positions 8 to 524 of the family's 1533-position model. The record is from RNAcentral.
AGAGUUUGAUCAUGGCUCAGAUUGAACGCUGGCGGCAUGCCUUACACAUGCAAGUCGAACGGCAGCAUAGGAGCUUGCUCCUGAUGGCGAGUGGCGAACGGGUGAGUAAUAUAUCGGAACGUGCCCUAGAGUGGGGGAUAACUAGUCGAAAGACUAGCUAAUACCGCAUACGAUCUACGGAUGAAAGUGGGGGAUCGCAAGACCUCAUGCUCCUGGAGCGGCCGAUAUCUGAUUAGCUAGUUGGUGGGGUAAAAGCCUACCAAGGCAACGAUCAGUAGCUGGUCUGAGAGGACGACCAGCCACACUGGGACUGAGACACGGCCCAGACUCCUACGGGAGGCAGCAGUGGGGAAUUUUGGACAAUGGGGGCAACCCUGAUCCAGCAAUGCCGCGUGAGUGAAGAAGGCCUUCGGGUUGUAAAGCUCUUUUGUCAGGGAAGAAACGGUAGUAGCGAAUAACUACUACUAAUGACGGUACCUGAAGAAUAAGCACCGGCUAACUACGUGCCAGCAGCCGCGGUAAU